CAACACCGCAUUUUGUCACUCAGACGAAAACUUAGCAAGAAAGAUGCCAAAGUUUUACAAAAGUCGGCUAACCCAACGUCUCCUGGAAACUUGAUAAGAUCCCUGGGACACACUUCCGAACCCUCACAUGCCAACUGUCACCUAAGAGAGGAAGAACUCCUUCGCAAACUUGGACAGAACAUGAAAUUUGUGGAAACACAGGGGCAAAAGAUCCUAAAUUUGGAACAAAUUGUGCAACAGCAGAAACGAACGAUCCAAGAACUAACUUAGCAGCUACAACGACAUGGCGGUCAUGACGAGCCAAGCUCCAAGCCACAGACUUCCAACAGCCUCCUGGCGGGCCUCCUGUCAGACCCAAUGGCUGAACUUCCCGGCAGACGUAAUAACACGGCAAUCCUGGCAUCGCUUUUAAGAAAUAGUAAUCUCGACAGUGAUGAGGGCGAGGACAACCCGCCGCAAAGGGGUAGAGUGAGACACGUUGCUGGGACAAGAAAAGACAACAAUAUUUUGUAACUUGGGACUCAUUUUUUUAUUAUUGUUGGUUAUUGCGUAACCUAUUUCCGGCUUGAUAAGGUGUCUCAAUAUUUAGCCGGGAAUGCAAAAAUUCAUUUUAACAAUAUGUACACUCUAAAUAAAAGUUGUGGAAAAUUUA
This is a long non-coding RNA of Folsomia candida, 652 nucleotides long. RefSeq lists it as uncharacterized. The transcript is spliced from 2 exons. NCBI's taxonomy places the organism in Eukaryota, Metazoa, Arthropoda, Collembola, Entomobryomorpha, Isotomidae. The record is from RefSeq and is a predicted model, not a curated record.